RNAcentral lists this ribosomal RNA (476 nucleotides) under Candidatus Scalindua wagneri. RNAcentral describes it as "bacterial SSU rRNA". It matches the Rfam family "Bacterial small subunit ribosomal RNA", at positions 365 to 832 of the family's 1533-position model. Lineage: Bacteria; Pseudomonadati; Planctomycetota; Candidatus Brocadiia; Candidatus Brocadiales; Candidatus Scalinduaceae. The record is from RNAcentral.
UUCGCAAUGCCCGAAAGGGUGACGAAGCGACGCCGCGUGAGCGAAGAAGGCCUUAGGGUUGUAAAGCUCUGUCGAGGGUUAUGAAAUGUAAACAGGUUAAUACCCUGUUUAUUUGACAAAAGCCCAAGAGGAAGUCACGGCUAACUCUGUGCCAGCAGCCGCGGUAAUACAGAGGUGGCAAGCGUUGUUCGGUAUUAUUGGGCGUAAAGAGCACGUAGGUGGUUUUAUAAGUCAGGUGUGAAAGCCUUCUGUUCAAAGGAAGAACGGCAUCUGAAACUGUAGGUCUUGAGUGUAGGAGGGGAGAGUGGAACUUCUGGUGGAGUGGUGAAAUGCGUAGAUAUCAGAAGGAACGUCGGCGGCGAAAGCGACUCUCUGGCCUAUUACUGACACUGAGGUGCGAAAGUUAGGGGAGCAAACGGGAUUAGAUACCCCGGUAGUCCUAACCGUAAACGAUGGGCACUAAGUAGAGGGGUUUU